GGGUGUUUUUCAGGUGAUGCACCCCAGAAUCAGGCUCCCUCUUCUCUGGUACCGGGGUGUGUCACCCAAGAACCUCC
Myotis brandtii (Brandt's bat) is the source of this 77-nucleotide non-coding RNA. The record is from Rfam. Lineage: Eukaryota; Metazoa; Chordata; Mammalia; Chiroptera; Vespertilionidae.